GAUGAACGCUGGCGGCGUGCUUAACACAUGCAAGUCGAACGGAAAGGCCCAAGCUUGCUUGGGUACUCGAGUGGCGAACGGGUGAGUAACACGUGGGUGAUCUGCCCUGCACUUCGGGAUAAGCCUGGGAAACUGGGUCUAAUACCGGAUAGGACCACAUUUUGGAUGGUGUGGUGGAAAGUUUUUCGGUGUGGGAUGAGCUCGCGGCCUAUCAGCUUGUUGGUGGGGUAAUGGCCUACCAAGGCGUCGACGGGUAGCCGGCCUGAGAGGGUGUACGGCCACAUUGGGACUGAGAUACGGCCCAGACUCCUACGGGAGGCAGCAGUGGGGAAUAUUGCACAAUGGGCGCAAGCCUGAUGCAGCGACGCCGCGUGGGGGAUGACGGCCUUCGGGUUGUAAACUCCUUUCGCUAGGGACGAAGCGCAAGUGACGGUACCUGGAGAAGAAGCACCGGCUAGCUACGUG
RNAcentral lists this ribosomal RNA (465 nucleotides) under uncultured bacterium. Its description in RNAcentral is "partial 16S ribosomal RNA". It matches the Rfam family "Bacterial small subunit ribosomal RNA", at positions 28 to 507 of the family's 1533-position model. The record is from RNAcentral.